UACGUAGGGGGCAAGCGUUGUCCGGAUUUAUUGGGCGUAAAGAGCGUGUAGGCGGCUAGGUAGGUCCGUUGUGAAAACUCGAGGCUCAACCUCGAGACGCCGAUGGAAACCAUCUGGCUAGAGUCCGGAAGAGGAGAGUGGAAUUCCUGGUGUAGCGGUGAAAUGCGCAGAUAUCAGGAGGAACACCGGUGGCGAAGGCGGGUCUCUGGGCAGUAACUGACGCUGAGGAACGAAAGCGUGGGUAGCAAACAGG
This 253-nucleotide ribosomal RNA is filed under the name uncultured bacterium. RNAcentral describes it as "partial 16S ribosomal RNA". It matches the Rfam family "Bacterial small subunit ribosomal RNA", at positions 524 to 776 of the family's 1533-position model. The record is from RNAcentral.